AUUGAGCGCUGGCGGAAUGCUUUACACAUGCAAGUCGAGCGGCAGCACGGACUUCGGUCUGGUGGCGAGUGGCGAACGGGUGAGUAAUGUAUCGGAACGUGCCCAGUCGUGGGGGAUAACGUAGUGAAAAUUACGCUAAUACCGCAUACGAUCUAUGGAUGAAAGCGGGGGAUCGCAAGACCUCGCGCGAUUGGAGCGGCCGAUAUCAGAUUAGGUAGUUGGUGGGGUAAAGGCCCACCAAGCCAACGAUCUGUAGCUGGUCUGAGAGGACGACCAGCCACACGGGAACUGAGACACGGUCCAGACUCCUACGGGAGGCAGCAGUGGGGAAUUUUGGACAAUGGGCGAAAGCCUGAUCCUGCCAUUCCGCGUGCAGGAUGAAGGCCCUCGGGUUGUAAACUGCUUUUGUACAGAACGAAAAGGUUUCUACUAAUACUAGGAGCUCAUGACGGUACUGUAAGAAUAAGCACCGGCUAACUACGUGCCAGCAGCCGCAGUAA
This 500-nucleotide ribosomal RNA is filed under the name uncultured bacterium. RNAcentral describes it as "partial 16S ribosomal RNA". It matches the Rfam family "Bacterial small subunit ribosomal RNA", at positions 30 to 523 of the family's 1533-position model. The record is from RNAcentral.